Molecule: ribosomal RNA, 253 nt
Filed under: uncultured bacterium
Lineage: Bacteria
Description: partial 16S ribosomal RNA
Rfam family: Bacterial small subunit ribosomal RNA
Source: RNAcentral
UACGUAGGGUGCAAGCGUUGUCCGGAAUUAUUGGGCGUAAAGAGCUCGUAGGCGGUCUGUUGCGUCGGCUGUGAAAACCCGAGGCUCAACCUCGGGCCUGCAGCCGAUACGGGCAGACUAGAGUUCGGCAGGGGAGACUGGAAUUCCUGGUGUAGCGGUGAAAUGCGCAGAUAUCAGGAGGAACACCGGUGGCGAAGGCGGGUCUCUGGGCCGAAACUGACGCUGAGGAGCGAAAGCGUGGGGAGCGAACAGG